AUGAACGCUGGCGGCGUGCCUAAUACAUGCAAGUCGAGCGAACAGACGAGGAGCUUGCUCCUCUGACGUUAGCGGCGGACGGGUUAGUAACACGUGGAUAACCUACCUAUAAGACUGGGAUAACUUCGGGAAACCGGAGCUAAUACCGGAUAAUAUAUUGAACCGCAUGGUUCAAUAGUGAAAGACGGUUUUGCUGUCACUUAUAGAUGGAUCCGCGCCGCAUUAGCUAGUUGGUAAGGUAACGGCUUACCAAGGCAACGAUGCGUAGCCGACCUGAGAGGGUGAUCGGCCACACUGGAACUGAGACACGGUCCAGACUCCUACGGGAGGCAGCAGUAGGGAAUCUUCCGCAAUGGGCGAAAGCUUGACGGAGCAACGCCGCGUGAGUGAUGAAGGUCUUCGGAUCGUAAAACUCUGUUAUUAGGGAAGAACAAAUGUGUAAGUAACUAUGCACGUCUUGACGGUACCUAAUCAGAAAGCCACGGCUAACUACGUG
RNAcentral lists this ribosomal RNA (496 nucleotides) under uncultured bacterium. Its description in RNAcentral is "partial 16S ribosomal RNA". It matches the Rfam family "Bacterial small subunit ribosomal RNA", at positions 29 to 507 of the family's 1533-position model. The record is from RNAcentral.